AACACGAAAGUGGACGUAUACGGUGUGACGCCUGCCCGGUGCUGGAAGGUUAAUUGAUGGGGUUAGCGGCAACGCGAAGCUCUUGAUCGAAGCCCCAGUAAACGGCGGCCGUAACUAUAACGGUCCUAAGGUAGCGAAAUUCCUUGUCGGGUAAGUUCCGACCUGCACGAAUGGCGUAAUGAUGGCCAGGCUGUCUCCACCCGAGACUCAGUGAAAUUGAACUCGCUGUGAAGAUGCAGUGUACCCGCGGCAAGACGGAAAGACCCCGUGAACCUUUACUAUAGCUUGACACUGAACCUUGAACCUUGAUGUGUAGGAUAGGUGGGAGGCUGUGAAGUGCGGACGCCAGUCUGCACGGAGCCAUCCUUGAAAUACCACCCUUGAAUGUUUGAUGUUCUAACGCAGGCCCGUUAUCCGGGUCGCGGACAGUGUCUGGUGGGUAGUUUGACUGGGGCGGUCUCCUCCCAAAGCGUAACGGAGGAGCACGAAGGUUAGCUAAUCACGGUCGGACAUCGUGAGGUUAGUGCAAUGGCAUAAGCUAGCUUGACUGCGAGAGUGACAGCUCGAGCAGGUACGAAAGUAGGUCAUAGUGAUCCGGUGGUUCUGAAUGGAAGGGCCAUCGCUCAACGGAUAAAAGGUACUCCGGGGAUAACAGGCUGAUACCGCCCAAGAGUUCAUAUCGACGGCGGUGUUUGGCACCUCGAUGUCGGCUCAUCACAUCCUGGGGCUGAAGUAGGUCCCAAGGGUACGGCUGUUCGCCGUUUAAAGUGGUACGCGAGCUGGGUUUAGAACGUCGUGAGACAGUUCGGUCCCUAUCUGCCGUGGGCGUUGGAAGAUUGAAAGGGGCUGCUCCUAGUACGAGAGGACCGGAGUGGACGCACCACUGGUGUUCGGGUUGUCAUGCCAAUGGCACUGCCCGGUAGCUAAGUGCGGAAGAGAUAACCGCUGAAAGCAUCUAAGCGGGAAACUUGCCUUGAGAUGAGUCUUCCCUUGUCCCUUGAGGAUACUGAAGGAACGUUCAAGACGAGGACGUGGAUAGGCUGGGUGUGUAAGCGUAGCGAUACGUUGAGCUAACCAGUACUAAUGAACCGUGAGGCUUAACCU
This 1104-nucleotide ribosomal RNA is filed under the name unidentified. Its description in RNAcentral is "bacterial LSU rRNA". It matches the Rfam family "Bacterial large subunit ribosomal RNA", at positions 1828 to 2925 of the family's 2925-position model. The record is from RNAcentral.